RNAcentral lists this long non-coding RNA (246 nucleotides) under Panax ginseng (ginseng). RNAcentral's name for it is "long non-coding RNA (PGIN_LNC017725)". The record is from RNAcentral. Lineage: Eukaryota; Viridiplantae; Streptophyta; Magnoliopsida; Apiales; Araliaceae.
CAAGGUUAACUCAAGAGGAUGAUAAAAUCUAGUGUGAUGAGAAAGAUUAUUAUUAUUAUCAGUUGUGUGUAUGUGAAUAUAUGAAAAACAUACCUUCCUCUAAAGACUUACUUGCUAGGAUAUAAUAUCUUUGCUUGGAUUACUGUGCCACCCAAUAUCAUCUGACAUAUCCCCAUGAUUUGAUGGGUUCUGCCGACUGCAUGGAACUUAUCCACUGCUUUUGGUCACUGUUUACACCGCCGGCCG